CUAGGCAGGUGCAUGGCUGCUUGACUAGGGACUGCAUUUCCCAGCAUCCUCAGUGAUAAAUUAUGAUCAUGUGACUAAGUUAUCACCAAUCAGAUGAGUGGAAAUGUUGUGGCUCGCUUCUGGGUCUGGACUUCAAAAUAUCCCUGCAUGCCGUCUCCAACUUCUCUUCCUCCUCCUUGCACAUGGAAUCCUUUCGUGGUGGUGACCCAGCUUCAAUCAGGCAGAGGACCAUGAGGGCCUAGAGGCUGGCAGAGCAAUGAGUGGAAGGAACCUGGGUUUCUGAACGACCACGAGGAGAGAGCUUCCCACUCACCUGGACUGCUCAUCUCAGAAUUGCUACAUGAGCGAAAAAGAAACUGAUAUCCUUUCCACUGCUGCGUUCUGGAAUCUCCUUGUCAGCCUGCUCUACCAAAUACACUGAGUAAGUAGGAGUUAGCCCUGUGAAAAGAGGGAGAGAAGACACUCCAAAGCACCCAGGGCUUUUGGAAAGAGUAAGAGUGGAAACAGGACUUUUUUCAUGGAACAUCUCCUGUGUCCUCAGUCCUGUGCCAGCCUCUCUAUCUUUGAAGGGAAACCAUUCAUCUUCUGCUCAUAAUCUAUGUGGCCACAGAGAAUUGUCACCAUCCUUUGUCUCCAAGGAAAGGCCAUGUCUUCUCAUACCCUAUGGUGGAUGCAGAAAAGUUUCCUGACAUCUUCCUGUCAGUCCGGCAGAUGGUUAUCAGCGGUUCCCUCUUCCUCUAGCCUUCUAAUCAUGCAUCUAC
Molecule: long non-coding RNA, 761 nt
Filed under: Equus caballus (horse)
Lineage: Eukaryota; Metazoa; Chordata; Mammalia; Perissodactyla; Equidae
Description: lncRNA (ENSECAG00000052091.1)
Source: RNAcentral